AUUGAACGCUGGCGGCAUGCCUUACACAUGCAAGUCGAACGGCAGCACGGGAGCAAUCCUGGUGGCGAGUGGCGAACGGGUGAGUAAUAUAUCGGAACGUGCCCAGUCGUGGGGAUAACGUAGCGAAAGCUACGCUAAUACCGCAUACGAUCUAUGGAUGAAAGCGGGGGAUCGCAAGACCUCGCGCGAUUGGAGCGGCCGAUAUCAGAUUAGGUAGUUGGUGAGGUAAAGGCUCACCAAGCCGACGAUCUGUAGCUGGUCUGAGAGGACGACCAGCCACACUGGGACUGAGACACGGCCCAGACUCCUACGGGAGGCAGCAGUGGGGGAAUUUUGGACAAUGGGCGCAAGCCUGAUCCAGCAAUGCCGCGUGCA
RNAcentral lists this ribosomal RNA (375 nucleotides) under uncultured bacterium. RNAcentral's name for it is "bacterial SSU rRNA". It matches the Rfam family "Bacterial small subunit ribosomal RNA", at positions 30 to 405 of the family's 1533-position model. The record is from RNAcentral.